This 496-nucleotide ribosomal RNA is filed under the name uncultured bacterium. Its description in RNAcentral is "partial 16S ribosomal RNA". It matches the Rfam family "Bacterial small subunit ribosomal RNA", at positions 28 to 507 of the family's 1533-position model. The record is from RNAcentral.
GAUGAACGCUGGCGGCGUGCCUAAUACAUGCAAGUCGAGCGAACAGACGAGGAGCUUGCUCCUCUGACGUUAGCGGCGGACGGGUGAGUAACACGUGGAUAACCUACCUAUAAGACUGGGAUAACUUCGGGAAACCGUAGCUAAUACCGGAUAAUAUAUUGAACCGCAUGGUUCAAUAGUGAAAGACGGUUUUGCUGUCACUUAUAGAUGGAUCCGCGCCGCAUUAGCUAGUUGGUAAGGUAACGGCUUACCAAGGCAACGAUGCGUAGCCGACCUGAGAGGUUAUUCGGCCAACCUGAACCUGGGACACGUUCCAGCCCCUACGGGAGGCAGCAGUAGGGAAUCUUCCGCAAUGGGCGAAAGCCUGACGGAGCAACGCCGCGUGAGUGAUGAAGGUCUUCGGAUCGUAAAACUCUGUUAUUAGGGAAGAACAAAUGUGUAAGUAACUAUGCACGUCUUGACGGUACCUAAUCAGAAAGCCACGGCUAACUACGUG